This 1650-nucleotide long non-coding RNA is filed under the name Ananas comosus (pineapple). Its description in RNAcentral is "long non-coding RNA (ACOM_LNC007448)". The record is from RNAcentral. Lineage: Eukaryota; Viridiplantae; Streptophyta; Magnoliopsida; Poales; Bromeliaceae.
CAAAACUCUAAUUUUACUUAUUUGAGUGUGCCAAGUCCAUUUCCGCCUCCAUUUCGUGCAGAAACGACUCCGACUCAGUUCGACACUCUCCAGACGUAUCGACCAAUCGCUAAUACUGUAGCCAAUACUAUCCAAACCUCUGGAACACUAUAAUUAAUAUUUUAUAAAAUAUAAAAUAAUUAAUAAUAUUAUAUAUAUAAUUUAACAAUAUUAAUUAUAAAAUUUAAAAAUAUCAAUUACAAAAUUCAAAAGUUUCGAAUACAUUAGGCGGAUUUGGGAGGAUCAUGGCGGGGCGAAUUCGGGACAAGUCAAAAUUUAUCUCGUUUCCUGCCCCGAAUCCAUCUCGAAUCGUAAAAUUUAUUCCGUUUCCUAUUUCGAAUUCGUUUAUUUUCUCCCAUUUAUUGCCCCGUCGGGGCGGAUCGGGUCGAAAGCUCUACCAAUCUGGAUUCGUUUGCAUCCCUACCUAGAAUUGAGUGGUCCCUGUAUGAUAAUAGUAUUAAUCCAAAUAUUAGAAAUGAUUAAAAAGAUUGAUCUACGGAUGAAAAAGUCGAAAGUACCAAAUCCUCUAUAUUUUUUAUGGUAUAGUAAAUCUUCUAUAUAUAUAUAUAUAUAUAUAUAGAGAGAGAGAGAGAGAGAGAGAGAGAGAGAGAGAGAGAGAGAGAGAGAGAGAGAGNAAAAUCAAAAAUUAUAAUAAAUAAAACUGGGAAUAAAAACAGAUACUCGUGCUUCUCUGCUCUCACCCAUAAUAAUAAUUGAGUUAAGCUCAAUCAAGUUUUUGGUCCUCAAAGUACAAGGCACGUGAUAUUUUAGCUCUUAAACUUUUAUUUAUUAUAAUUUUUGAUUUUAAUUUUAUAAAUUGUUAACAUUAGGUUCCACAAUCUUAUUUGGCUAGACAAUAUUGACGUAUCACUAACGUGGAGGUCAUAGUAUAUUUUAAUUAUUAUUACAUCAUCGAUCAUAAUAUUAUCACAUUAUUUUUAUAUUUGUAAUAUAUUAAAUUUUAGUCAGUUAAAUUGAAUUGGGGGAUUUGAGUGUAACAAUUUAGAAUUUGAGCGAAGAAUUAUGAUAAAUUAAAAAUUUAAAGAAUCACAGUAUCACGCUGAGGAUCAAACGUAUAAUUUAGGCAAAAACUAAACGAAAUGCAUUACCUGUCCAAAAUAUUUAUUUAUUCUGAGGCUUGAUGGGUGUGUAUAUAUGUGAACACUUUAUACAUCCCGUCUUAUAUUUAAUUAUUAAAAUUUAAUUUGAUAAAAAAAGAACAGUAAUAUCUAAAAAUAUAUAUAUAUAAAUAAGUUAAAACAUAAAAAACUUUCCUGUAAAUACUUAUUUUUUCAUUUUUCUUUUCUUGACUUUCAAAAAUUUAUAUUUUACUCCUUUAAAAUUUUAGAAAUAUUUCAAAAGAUUACACAUUAAUGGAGAUGGCGAAAUGAUAAAAUUUUCUUUACUUAUUAUAUAAAAAUAUUUUUUUAAUAUAUUUUUGUUACUUUUAAAGAUAUUUUUAGCAUAAAUUAUAAAAAGAUGGAUGCAAUACUAACGGAACCAUAAUAGAGGGGGAGACUAAAUACAUCAACUUGAAAUUUAAAAAAAAUAAAAUAUAAAUUUUUAAAAGCCAGAAAAAAUUUAAAAAAAUUAAGUAUUUAUACGAAAUUC